GUCAAAAAAAUUGACAGUUCUCUUUUCAGUUGAAUACUAAACCCUACUCUCAAUUGACAAGCUGAAGUGAAGAAACAAUGGAGCUAAACCUUAACAAGAGGAAAAAGCAAAAGACUGACAACAGCUCAACCGGCAACUCUGAGGUUUUCGCUUCUUGCACUUUCGAAAGUCUCGGUCUUCACACUACCUUAUGCGAUCAGCUCAAAGAGAGGCUUGGAUUCGAGGCUCCAACUCUUGUUCAAGCUCAAGCAAUUCCUGUUAUACUCUCUGGUCGACAUGUGCUAGUGAAUGCGGCUACCGGAACGGGGAAAACUGUGGCUUAUUUGGCUCCAGUAAUUCAUCAGUUGCAGAAGUGUGAUCCCAGGAUUCAGCGGUCUGAUGGUACUUUUGCGUUGGUUCUUGUGCCAACACAUGAAUUAUGCAUGCAGGUAUAUGAGAUCUUGCAGAAGUUGUUGCAUCGUUUUCACUGGAUUGUUCCUGGAUAUAUUAUGGGAGGGGAAAGCAGGAACAAAGAGAAAGCUAGAUUGCGAAAAGGAAUUUUGUUAGCAAAUUAACCAUAGGGGAGAAGGAAUUUGCUGGUGUACAGACUAUGACUCAUGAAGGUCAAAGAUGUGAAGAAUGGGAAUGGUGGUUACUAGU
RNAcentral lists this unclassified non-coding RNA (639 nucleotides) under Hevea brasiliensis (rubber tree). Lineage: Eukaryota; Viridiplantae; Streptophyta; Magnoliopsida; Malpighiales; Euphorbiaceae. The record is from RNAcentral.